Non-coding RNA from Potamilus streckersoni, 74 nucleotides. Lineage: Eukaryota; Metazoa; Mollusca; Bivalvia; Unionida; Unionidae. The record is from the annotation of a GenBank genome assembly.
GUUACAAGUGGCCUAGUGGUUAGAGCGUCCGCCUCGGAUGCAGGUGGUCGUGAGUUCAAGCCCAGGCCUAAUCA